GAGCUCAGUUGGUUAGAGCGUGGUUCUGGUAACGCCAAGGUUGCAGGUUCAAUCCCUGUAUGGGACA
Podarcis lilfordi (Lilford's wall lizard) is the source of this 67-nucleotide non-coding RNA. The record is from the annotation of a GenBank genome assembly. NCBI's taxonomy places the organism in Eukaryota, Metazoa, Chordata, Lepidosauria, Squamata, Lacertidae.